RNAcentral lists this transfer RNA (73 nucleotides) under Bos taurus (domestic cattle). It matches the Rfam family "tRNA". From Rfam's summary of the family: Transfer RNA (tRNA) molecules are approximately 80 nucleotides in length. Their secondary structure includes four short double-helical elements and three loops (D, anti-codon, and T loops). Lineage: Eukaryota; Metazoa; Chordata; Mammalia; Artiodactyla; Bovidae. The record is from Rfam by way of RNAcentral.
UCCCUGGUUGUCCAGUGGUUAGGACUCUGUGCUUCCACUUCAAGGGGCACAGGUUCAAUCCCUGGUUGGGGAA